This 72-nucleotide transfer RNA is filed under the name Sphaerodactylus townsendi. RNAcentral's name for it is "tRNA-Ala". It matches the Rfam family "tRNA". Rfam says of the family: Transfer RNA (tRNA) molecules are approximately 80 nucleotides in length. Their secondary structure includes four short double-helical elements and three loops (D, anti-codon, and T loops). Lineage: Eukaryota; Metazoa; Chordata; Lepidosauria; Squamata; Sphaerodactylidae. The record is from RNAcentral.
GGUGAUGGCACAGUUGAUAGAGCAUCUGGCUUGGCAUGCAGAAGGUCCCAGGUUUAAUCCCUGGGAUCACCA